RNAcentral lists this ribosomal RNA (768 nucleotides) under uncultured archaeon. RNAcentral describes it as "bacterial SSU rRNA". It matches the Rfam family "Archaeal small subunit ribosomal RNA", at positions 89 to 861 of the family's 1478-position model. The record is from RNAcentral.
CUCAGUAACACGUGGAUAACCUACCCUUAGGACCGGAAUAACCCCGGGAAACUGGGGAUAAUACCGGAUAAGCCAUAGACGCUGGAAUGCCCUAUGGUUCAAAGCUCCGGCGCCUAAGGAUGGAUCUGCGGUCUAUCAGGUUGUAGUGGGUGUAACGUACCUACUAGCCGACGACGGAUACGGGUUGUGAGAGCAAGAGCCCGGAGAUGGAUUCUGAGACACGAAUCCAGGCCCUACGGGGUGCAGCAGGCGCGAACACUUUACAAUGCGGGAAACCGCGAUAAGGGAACCCCGAGUGCCAGCAUCAAAUGUUGGCUGUCCAGAUGAUUAAAAAUCAUUUGUUAGCAAGGGCCGGGCAAGACCGGUGCCAGCCGCCGCGGUAACACCGGCGGCCCGAGUGGUAGCCGUUUUUAUUGGGUCUAAAGGGUCCGUAGCCGGCCUGAUAAGUCCUUUGGGAAAUCUGGCAGCUUAACUGUCAGGCUUCUAAGGGAUACUGUCAGGCUUGGGACCGGAAGAGGUAAGGGGUACUCCAGGGGUAGGAGUGAAAUCUUGUAAUCCCUGGGGGACCAUCUGUGGCGAAGGCGCCUUACCAGAACGGGUCCGACGGUGAGGGACGAAAGCUAGGGGAGCAAACCGGAUUAGAUACCCGGGUAGUCCUAGCUGUAAACGAUGCUCGCUAGGUGUCAGACAGCGGUGCGACCGUGUUUGGUGCCGCAGGGAAGCCGCUGUCGACCACCUGGGAAGUACGGUCGCAAGCUGAAACUAAAG